This 27342-nucleotide long non-coding RNA is filed under the name Nicotiana tabacum (common tobacco). RNAcentral's name for it is "long non-coding RNA (NTAB_LNC000819)". The record is from RNAcentral. Lineage: Eukaryota; Viridiplantae; Streptophyta; Magnoliopsida; Solanales; Solanaceae.
UUUUCUUCUUUUUUUUUCCUUUUUGCCACCAUUAUUUAAUAUUUUAAAGAAACCCGCUAAAGCAAAUUUCUCAAUUUUUCUCAAUCCAGGCAACCUUUUAACCAAGUUGCGUGAUCCACUCUAAGUAGGGAAAGCAAUUAAGGAAACCUAAUAUUAAUAUAUUUAGUAAAUCCCAAAAUCAACCUUUUUCCUAUUAAAACAGAAACAACUUUAGCCUUCCAAUCUCCUCGUUUAAAGUUGUUUCCUUUUGUUUUAAUCAAAAGGUUAGUGCAGAGAAUAAUUUUUAUAUUUCUACUCCUCUCUAGGCAUUGUAAAGAAGAAAAGACAAUAAAGAAGUACAAAAAACAAUUAUAUUCUCCACCGUCAGUUUUUGCAAAGAAAAAAGAAAAGGAGAAGUAGGGAAAUUUGUACUGCUAUAAAAGGCUCGUAAAAGUAGUUUGUCCAUCACCAUGCAAAAGAUGGCGGAAACAAACAAUAGCGUUCCUUACACCCAAUUACCGGCGGAGGACAAUAACACCUCCAGUAAUUCUCCGGCCAAAUGCCGGCGACGACCCAAAAGAGUGUCGUUCAUAGUAUUAACAGGGCUGGUGGCAGCUUUGUUACUUUUUGUGGCAGUGAAAUAUGGGAAUAACGAGGCGGAGGAUGUAAAUCCAGGGCCAGUACCACCACAAGAAACCGUGUGUAACAUGCUUGGUUCUAAUCUAAUGCCGCUGACCACCAUGAGGACGGUGGCGCGUGGGGUGGCAGAAGGUGUCUCCGCCAAGUCACGCGGUCGUUUCUUGGGAUUACGGCCGUUUCCAUGGACCAAACAAAUGUUGGCUUGGCAAAGAACAUCCUUCCACUUUCAACCUAAGAAGAAUUGGAUGAAUGGUUAGUAAUUCUUUUUCUCUUAUGUUAUUUUCAUAAAUCAGCUUUGUUUUUAUUAAACAAUAAAUCAACAGCUUAUUGAUAAUUUUAAACAUAAAACCGCCUUAUGCUUGACGAGAUUAACUAGAACUUUAUGUACAAUGAAUGGUUAUCUCCAUUCCAUUACAUGCCCAUGAAUUUUAUGUGUCUUAAUUUAAAGAUUUGACAGGACAUUACAUUACGUUUAUAGUUUAAGAAAAGCUUGGUAUUGAUAUAAAAAAAACCAUUACAGCUUCGAAUAUGGGAUACCUUGUCUUUUUCUUUGCCUAAGAUGGAUCUUUGAUUGCAAGAACAGAGUUUGAAUUACUCAGGAAAAAUAUGAAAUCGUUUUGGAACUUAUUUGCUUGUUUAUUAUUUUUUGAGGUGAACAUUAAUGAUUUAUUCUUAUUUGGCAUGUGUUGGAUUCUUUGGCUUUGGACUGCGUUGCUCACGGAAAUUACCUGAUUCUGUUCGUCAGAUCCUAAUGGUAAGUCCAUAUUUUCUGCCGGUAUUAUUAUUAUUAUUAUUGUUAUUGUUAUUAUUAUUAUUAUUAUUAUUAAUUUAUUUUGAUAUAUUGGAAACCAUCGACAAAACGGGGACCUCAAAACAUACUAGUCGGGGUAGUUUGUAAGUAGACAGAUUGACAAUAUGAUGAAGACAGUUGUCUUUAGACAAUUGCAUGUGAAUUUUGUAGGAGCAAACACAAAUUCCUAGAAUGGUAUACAACUUCAAUCCUGUCUGUCCAAUUAUAACCUCGCUACUUUUGAUCCACUACACCUUUUUCGAUCAACAGGGGAUCACUUAUUUAAUUAUACGGAACCCUUUAUAUAACAAUCAUAUUUGUUCCCGUAUUUUUUAGGUUUUAUAUUGAGUGGUUGUUAUGCAAAUAUUACAGGAUUUGACGUUUAAAUAUUUUUUUGGUUGUUAUAGAUAAAAAUUAUCUAUAAAUAAAUAAUCAUUCCUUUUUUCAUGUUACAUAUAAAAAAUAAGGAAAUUAUUUAAAUUUAAAAUCUCACAAGCUAUGCAUAUUUCACUAAUUAAAUAUUAAAGAAAGUUAAUACAUUAUUAAUAAAUUCAUAACUAAAAAUAUAAAGAUUUAAACUCUAAGGCAGACAUUUUAAGGCUACCAAAAAAAUAAUUUUUUUCAAGAUUGAUGGAAGUGGAACAACUUUGUAAUUGUAGCUUGUUUCGUAGAUUUCAUUCUCUUACUAGCGAUAUAACACUUGAAUUGGCAAAGAUCCGUGUCUAAAUUUUCAGCAAAAAGGUAUCCAAUAGUUUUUCCUUGAAUACAAUCUAAGAGUUUAACCGUUAAAUUUUCUAUCCAAGUAUUUUUUAAAUUUAUCCAAUAAAAAAGAUAUCAUGUGCAAAUCUAUAAAUCUUAUAUUUUAUGCAAGAUAGAAACUUUAUUUAUUUUUAGAAUUAUUAUUAGCAAUCUUAAAGAUUUUAUAUGGCUGUUAUAGAGGGGUAAUUUUACAAAAAGCGUUCUGCUAUAAAUAUGGUUGUUGCUGUUAUAGGUAAAAAGUUGUUAUAAAAUUGUUUAUGAAAGUCACUUUACUUUAUUUUUUAACUGAAAAGUCACUAUACUUUGCACAUUGUAACUCAAAAGUCAAUCAACACUUUUAGGGCGUUAUUAAACAUUAUUUUUCAUAUUUCUUUUCAGCCCAACCAUUUAAAAAAUAAAAAAAAAUAUUUAAAUCAUGACUCGACGGUUCCAUGACCUGACCCAUUUUCUCUUAUUUAUGUUAUAAAAAACAUAAAUAUUACUUUGUUGUAGUGUAUUAUAUUGGUUCUCAAUAUAGUUAUACUAAAUGUAUACAUUGGUUUAAGCAAAGUAUUAAAUAGAGAAUAAGGAAUUAAUCUUAACAAACUAGAGGAGUUAGAUUUGAAACUGAAACAAGAAAAUUAGUAGCGUUGAAGUGAAAAAAAAUAAAAAGGAGGAAGAAAAAAUAAAAAAAGUAUUUAUGCUUGAAAUUUUGACUGAGAAAUAUUAAUAUAAGAGUAAAUUAAAAGACAAUAUCCUUGAUGUUUUAGAACAAGAACGCGCAUUUUAGUAAAGAUAAUGUUACUAGACGACCAUUUUUAGUCGAACUAAUUUAAUACUUUGCUUAAAUCAAUAUGUUGAAAAUCAAGACAAUUAACAGUAAAGUAAUAUUUACGUUUUUUUGUAACAAAAAUAAGAGAGUGGGUCGAGUUAAAGAGCGGGUUGAGUCACGGUUUAAAUGGGUAUUUUUUUAUUGUUUAAAUGAUUGAGUUAAAAAAAAUAUGAAAAAAAAAAUUUAAUAUGGCCUAAAUGUAUUGAGUGACUUUUGAGUUACAAUGUGUAAAGUAUGAUGACUUUCCUUUUACAAAACAAAGUAAAGUGACUUUCAUAAACAAUUUUCAUUAGUUCAAUGACUUCUGAGAAAUGGACUCCUUAAAAAAUUGAUUCUGAAGAAAACUUGGUUUUUACGGUGAAUGACUGUUAUAUAUGAAUGUUGUUAUCGAAAGGUCUGACUGUAUGUGACCUAGUUUAUUGAGACGUUUUUACAUUAAAGCCCUUUCGUAUUUACACUUCAAUAUGCAUCAUACAAAAAAUAUGUGCUUCAUAAUUAUACAUUACAUUCAUUUCUAACUCCACUUUUACAAAAAAUAUUUUAGGUCCAUUAUUCUACAAAGGAUGGUACCAUUUGUUCUAUCAAUACAAUCCAGAGGCUGCAGUAUGGGGAAAUAUUGUAUGGGGCCAUGCAGUUUCAAGAGACUUAAUUCACUGGCAACACCUUCCAGUUGCUAUGGUUGCGGAUCAAUGGUACGACAUUAACGGUGUAUGGACCGGAUCCGCAACCAUUUUACCCGAUGGUAAACUCGUCAUGUUAUAUACCGGGUCAACCAACGAGUCAGUACAGGUUCAAAAUCUAGCGUACCCGGCUGACCCAUCGGAUCCUCUCCUAAGAAAAUGGGUCAAAUAUGAGGGCAACCCGGUACUUGUACCACCACCCGGAAUUGCUACUAAAGAUUUUCGUGACCCCACCACUGCAUGGACCACACCACAAGGCAAAUGGAGGAUUACUAUUGGUUCAAAGGUUAAUAAAACUGGAAUUUCAUUGGUCUAUGACACUAUUGAUUUUAAGAAAUUUGAGUUGUUGGAUGGGGUGCUCCAUGGUGUACCGGGUACGGGUAUGUGGGAAUGUGUGGACUUUUACCCGGUUUCGAAAGUUGUUGAAAAUGGGCUUGACACAUCAGAUAAUGGGCCUGCAGUAAAACAUGUGUUAAAGUCCAGUCUAGAUGAUGAUAGAAAUGAUUAUUAUGCACUUGGAACUUAUGAUGCAGUGGCUGGUAAAUGGAUUCCUGAUAAUCCCACAAUUGAUGUUGGUAUUGGAUUAAGAUAUGAUUAUGGAAAUUUUUACGCAUCAAAAACAUUUUAUGACCAAGAAAAAAAGAGAAGAGUCCUUUGGGCUUGGAUUACUGAAGGUGAUAGUGAAGCUGCUGAUAUUUGCAAAGGUUGGGCAUCACUUCAGGUACAAUUCAAUUGUGUCGAAGACAAUUUAGCUAGUGUUGGGAUAUAGAUUUGGUUGAAACUUAAAAAAAAAAAUAUUUAAAAUUAUGGACAUGUAUUUUAUUUGAAAAAAAUUAAAAUUCUGUGAGUGGAAGAAAACCUUUUACCCAAAAACUACCCUAAACCAGAUUUUGGGAAUGUAAAAAAAAGAAUCAGAUCAUAUUCUAUGAACAAACAAUAUUAUCAAAAGUUUUUUAAAAACAAUUUUCAAAAUCUAUGGUCAAUUUCCUCUUUUAUUUUACUUCAUUUUGUCAUAUUUGAAUUUUGGUCUCAUUUAACACUUGGUAACGUGUGAUGUAAAACAGCCUAUUCCAAGGACUAUAAAAUAUGACAAGAAGACAGGAAGCAACAUAAUUACUUGGCCAGUGGCGGAGGUUGAGAAUUUGAGAUUAAACAGUAAGGAAUUCGACAAGGUGGAGGUAAAACCAGGGUCAGUUUUUCCACUAGAAGUUGGCACUGCCACUCAGGUUUGUUGAUUGAAUUUAACUAUACACGUGUAAAAGAAUUUCUUUACGUUAUCGGUCUAUUUUAAACUAUUAUAGCACGUAACAUGCUAAUAUUCGAUAAGUUUAACUUACUAUAAUUUGAAUUGUUGAUGAUUAUAGUUGGACAUAAUGGCUGAGUUUGAAAUAGACCCUAAGGUCUUGGAGAGAUUAGAAGGAAAUAAUGCUACAUAUGAGUGCAGAAGCAGUGGGGGAUCUGCUGAACGUGGUGCCUUAGGACCAUUUGGUUUAUUGGUUUUAACAGAUAAGGGCUUGUCCGAGCAAACUCCAAUUUACUUCUACAUUGCAAAAGACGCUGCUGGAAAUUUCACCACAUUCUUCUGCAAUGAUCUUACCAGGUUCUAAUUUCUCCUCUCUUGCAUUUUCAUCUCAUCAAUGAAGUUUUAGCCCCUCCCCCCCACCAAAACCAAACUAAGAAAUUGGAGAAAAACCUUUAUUGGUUCACUGCUUAAUAGCAGUACGGAAUUCAGGAUUUUGAGUCAUUAGGUUCUGCUCUAUAUAUAUAUAUAUAAUAAUAUUUUUCUACACAUAUAUAUAGUUCGAGCUAAACAUAAUGAGUUCCGUCGAACCUGUUGCAUCUAGUCUGAAUCCGCCACUGCUUUAACACAUCUUUCUCAUAAUAACCACUAUUUCCAAGAGCUUAAGUAUUUCUCAUGUCCAUACUUCUAUCCACGUUUAAAAAUGAAGUCAGAUUUUGUUUUAUAUCCGAGAAAUCCCGAGGGCAAGUGGCCAGUACAUGGUUCGAAGCUCAAUGGACACUGGCACCGCCCUUUAUCGUGCUCUACUUAAAUAUUAAGAUUUUGUCUGUUGCAGGGUUUUAACCAAGGACGUACGUUUAACCCAUAUAUAACGAGUAGCUUUUACCACUAGACCAAAACUCGGGGCAAUAUAUGAAGCCAGAUAUUUGUUGCAAUUCUCUUUAAUUAAAUUAAAAUGGUGACAAGAUCCGAGACAAAUCUUGGAAGUGCAUUACGUAGUAUUUUUAAGUAAGUAUGAUAAUGGUGAUUCUCAUCUUUUUACUUCCUUUUUUUUAGGUCAUCUGAAGCAACAGAUGUUCGCAAACUAAUCUACGGAAGCACAGUUCCAGUCCUCCAAGGAGAGAAGCUUUCUCUAAGAACACUGGUAAUUUUCAUUUUUCUUCUUUUUUUAAUUGCUUAUUCAAAAUUCUUGAUUAUAUUGCGUACACUUAAGUUUACCAAAUAUAAAUUAAUGGGGUAUUUUUGUGAAUGUAAUAGGUGGAUCAUUCAAUAGUAGAAAGUUUUGCACAAAGUGGAAGGACAGCAAUAACGUCAAGGGUAUAUCCAACAAAGGCAAUAUAUGAAGAUGCUAAGCUCUACUUAUUUAACAAUGCUACAGAUGUUAGCAUUACUGCCUCACUCAAGAUUUGGCAAAUGAAUUCUGCAAAUAUACAAUCUAGUUAACUUCCACCCCAUAUGUAGAUUGUAAAUUAAAUUUUCAAAAUUGUUGAUUCUUCUUUUUUGAUUUUCCACCACCAUUGUUUUGUGGCAUUCUUUUAUUUCUUUUCACUUAUUGUAAUUUAAUUAAUUUUAUCUUUCCCAUUCUUCCUUUUAUUUUUCGCCAAGUAUGUUUCUAUUGGUGAGAUAGAAAAAGUUUCAUUUUGGAUCAAAGAGAUCAGUGAAGUGGGCCUUUUUUGUGUGGUGCUUUGAAAACUAUUUACACAAUAAUGUCCAUUAUUGAAUAAUUAAAGAUAAAUAUUUUAAUAAUUGUUAAUCUAUUAUCACACGUUUAAAUUAACUCCCCGCUCACACUCUAGGAGAAGGAGGGGGGAGGGGGGUCCUCUGCUCUUGUCUUCUUGGGGGAUCAAUAGUUGUACUUCUUUAGUUAUUCCUCGUGACUCUUUUUUGUCUCUGCAUUUGUGAAUUAAAUCUUGUGAGCUAAAUAAUAAUAAUAAUAAUAAUAAUAAUAAUAAUAAUAAUAAUAAUAAUAAUAAUAAUAAUAAUAAUAAUAAUAAUAAUAGAACAAAAUGGACAGUUUACACAUUAUUCCAAGGAAUUCUCUCAAAUCUGCAUCAUCAAAUGCUAUUAGCUAAUAAUAGAACCAUAUGUACAGAGAGGAGACAAGACCCCUUUUCUCGACUAGAAAUGGGUCCCAAGUUUCGAGUUUAGUGUUCAGUAUUUCCGACAAUAAGAAGCUUUUAACCUGAAGGUGGUGGAAUUAUUAGACACAAACAAGACAAUAUAUUAAAAGGGAAACAGCUUAAAGUUCAUAUCAAUUUGAAAUAUGAUGAGAUACUAGGUUAAUUUCUCCUCUUCUUGUUGGCAACGAGUUUGGUUGGCUAAUUGAGAUUUGAGAACAUACCAUGAAAUUCUUCUCGCGUAGGAAAAAAAUAAAAUUGACUUAAAUCAACUGUGUUGAAAGAACAAACGAUAAUUUAUAAGGUUAAAAAGAUCUUACCAGAAAUUUUCAAUUAUAUAUGAGCAAACACGCGGAAAAUUUUAAAAAUUAUACACAAAGAAUGAUCAAAUACGCCAAUAAUUGCGCUUUAGUGCCAAACCAGUUGAGUUAAAGAUUUUAUAAUGGUCCGUGGAGUAAAAUGCACUUUUAGUUUUAAACUAUGAAAAGUAUUGAGAAUAUAUAUUGGAUUGUACUUUCUUACUUAAAAAUUAAAAGAAAGAUUUUGUGCCAAUAUAAAAUGGAUCAAUAACAUUUUGACUCAAACCAUUUAUCUAAUAAAACUAGUUAAGUUGCUUAGAUGGCCAUAUCGAAAUGCAAUUUCUCUUUCUUUCUCAAAAAUGAAAUGAAACUUUUUUUUUAUUAGUGCUGUAUGUUUGAACCACCUUAUGCGAAACUCAAUUAAUUUUAUGAAUAUCUCUUACCUUCAAAAAGUAAUGUAACUUUUCCAAUCCAGAAAAUCCCAAAUCAUUCAAUUUACAAAAAAUUAAGACAAUAUAAUCGCUCGUUUGUAAAUGUCAACUCCUUGAUCGUUUGGUGAAAAGACAUUAGUCGUUACUAAUUGGUUUGAAUCGUUUUCUCUUGAUUUCACCACCUAAUCAAUUUCAUUAAUCAUAGAUCGCAUGUAUUUUCCUUUACUAAUCAUUAAUCAAUUAUAAACUAGUAUUUUCCUUUAUGUUUUUGUUUAGAGUACGGGCAUCUCGAGGAUGAAACUGUUUGAAGCAUGUUUCCACAAUAUAUGCAGGUUUCAUUGACUUGACUUAUUUUCUUCUCCACUCAACCUCACGUUAGGGCUUGUUCACAACGGAACAAAAAUCAAAACCAAAUCGAAAUCGAAACUUAAUGGCUUAUUGGUAUUGGGUUAACGAUUUAACGAACGGGGAACGGAUUAAAAAUUUUUAUUAACGGCUUAUCGAUUUAGGACGGAUUAUUCAAUUUUCUUAACGGCUAAUCCGUUAACUCAUUAAGAAUAUAUAUAUAUAUAUCCUAAUGAUAUAGUUUCUGUCAAGUGUCGAGAAUCAAUUCCCAAUUUUCCAUUAACAAGUGUUGGUAUUAGUAGCCAAAAUACAUGCCUUUUGUUUUCUAUUUUUCCCAGUUAGUGUCUUAGUGGUCAUCACUCACCGUUGUAUUAAAUAUAGAGAAAAAGAUGUAUAGUACAAUUUACUCUAUUAGAAAUUUAGAAUUUAGAAACCCUAAAAUCUAGACCUCCCAAAUUCUCUAGCCGCUGCCUCUCGCUCUCUCCUCCCAUUCUCUUCUCAGGGGUCUUGCCUCCAUAGGCUCUAAUCUCAUAACUAGAUCUCAGACUCUCAGUUAUGGCCAUAGCUAGAGUAGCAGACGAUAAGUUUCUUUCUUCUCAUUUUCGAAUCUUUACUUGAUAGUCGAAUUUUUAGUUCUGCUAUUGAUAAAAUAGACCAAAUCUAUGUAGAAAUUUGGAAAAAUAUCAAAAUUAUUCUAGGGAUUAAAAGAGGAAUUUCGUGGCAGAAGAAUGUCAUUUUCCUCAUCAUACUUUGUCAGGAAAUUAAUUUACUUUCUAAUUCGAUUUCGAUUCAGUUCUAAUAUAUCGGGUAAGAAUUCGAACACUAGCAAGCUAGCCUGCUACCUCUUCUCUGUUGUUAUUUGUUUUUCGAACACUAGUUUAUUUUUAUUUGGAUUUCCUUAAGCUUAAGUGAGGAUCAGCCUAAACCAACUCACAAAGUAAAAAACAGAAUUUAGUUAGUUCUGUAGUUGUUUUAAACUGUUAAUUAAGGUAAUAAUGCAUCUCAUUAAUUCGGUGGAUGAAUCAGUGACAAUUCCAGUCAAGUCACUAAACAUCUAAUUGCAUAAUUAUUUUUUUAAAAGUCAAAGAAUAUCAUAUGCAUCUCCAGAAAAAUAUGUAAACAUACAUAGAAGAUAUAUAAAUAGACCGAUAAACCGCCCGAUAAUAGCUAAACCGAUACCAAUCCGCCUGAUAUCUUAUCGGAUGGCUAGUGGAUUAAUACAUUUAAAUAUCGAUAACCGAUAGGCCGAACCGUUAGGCGUAAAUAAUCGCCCGAUCCGCCCGAUAAGCAACCCUUCACAUGAGCUCAAACCACUAUUGGCUGUUAAUGUAAUUUUAGCUAUCACAUAAUUUAACCGACUAUAAUAAAUCACUUAAUUUAUAGUAUUUUUUUGCAAGUUGCCAAUCUAUAUUUGUUAUAAAAGUUAAAGAAUUUCAUUUUGAGACCUUCAAGUUUAUACUUGACUGAUCCAAAUUGAAAGCACUAAUUUGUAUGCGUUUGUACAAUGUUUGGUUGAAGUAGGAAAAAAGAAAUUACCUGAAGUUGAAGUUAGAAAAAGUUUAAAGUAUUGUGUUUAAAAAAAGUUUAAGUAUUGGUGUUUGAACAUGAAUAUAAUUGGAAUAAAGUUUACAAUAUUAUGAGUGGUAAUCAUUUUGUCACUUGAAUACUUCUCAAAAUAAGGUUUUCAACUUCAAAUUCUCUAUUUCAAUUGAAGUUGAAAUAAAGAACCAAGUCGUAAAUGAAAUAUUGAUUUCGAAUUAUAUUUUAAGUUGAAGUUAUAAAAAAAAUAGAAUGCAUAUACUUGAGACACCCGAAGCUUAGCACUAGGAGUUAAUAACCUGAAAACUUUAUUCAUAAACUUCUGGUUACCAUCUCUUUUAAUAACAGAAUAGACAGGCACAAUUACCGUAACUGCUGCCCAUUAUGGGAUUCGUUUAGAAACUUGUUUCUGUAAUUAUCACUCUUCUUUCCUUGUCUGCCACAAUAUGUUCUCCCCCUUAUUGUUACCCUCAAAAUAUGAUACCAAUUUAAUUUAUACGUGGUUUUAAGGAUAGUGAUCUAACUUGAUACAAAAAUGAGAAAUCAGAUUCAAAUUGAAAUUAAUGAUAAAAAAGUAAAUACAAACCAGUUGAACAAUUUUGACCUUGAAAGUUGGUCACCCUCGAGUCAAAGAUGCUGCAAUCGGUGUCGGGAUAGAGUGAUGAGAUAAUAAUGACUAGAAAUAACAGUUUAUUGCUUUGAGAUGCGUGUUACAAUAUACUUUACAAAUAAUCAGACCCCCUUUAUAUACUAGAUGAGUCCUACUUUAGGUACAAUUCUAUAUAAGGUAAAAAAUCUCAUAAUUUGCUAAUUAAUCGGUUUCAUUGAUACGUGCUGAGAUUCCUGCCGUGAUAUCCGACCGGUUAUGGAUAUUUCGGCCUUCCGUUAUUUUGGUUCGGUAAUGUUUUCUCGAGCUAAUUCGGAGUUGUGGUCAAUUCCAGGGUUACAGACUCGAUAAUCUUGAAAACGCAUGUUCUAACCUCGUGCCUAGGGUCGAUCUUCAAUCCAUUACGUUUCAUCCCUGAUCUGCUAUGCAAUAGAUGAGCUCGGUUUCUACCGUAUACAGAUAGUCCCCUCGUUUUUCGGAGAGUAAACGACGAGAAACGAUAUCAGCCCUCGAUCCUUGUCUCGGUACUUUGCGCCAGAAACGACAAAAUGAUCAACGAAACAUCUGGUUAGUCACAUCUAAAUGGCAUUAAAUGUUCGUCAGUUGUUGGUCGGCCACCAAAGGUUUUGAAUCGUCGUUUGCAAACUAUAAAUACUUCAUCCUUCAUUUAUUCAAACGUUAUAUUCAAUCUUUUCCUACUCUUGUUCUUAAAGAACCUUUGCAUUUUCUAGUGUUUUCCCCAAUUUCUUGAGAGCUUUGUAAGGGUUUCUCCUUUGUCUGAACUAUUCAAUUGUACCCCUUUAACUCCUUCUUCUUCAUCUUCAUCAAACAAUGGCGAAGACUUCUAAGUUUGUUCCCCAAAAAGAAACUCUCUCUUCCUCGAAAUCGACUGAGAACGUUUUGCCUGUAGUUACUGAGGGAUCGACACCAGAACCCCUUCUAAAGAUGUUUGUCCCUACGGGGUGUCCAAUCGGAGCCGAUUUUAAGGUUGAGAAAACCUCCUUGGUACCGGGCCAGUGCGAACCGGUCUCAAGAUACAUAUGUUCGGUCACCGACGGUGUUCUCGACAAGGUCAAGGAGGACUGCAACUGGGUCAGUAAGCAUGCAGUGGUUCCUACGCCCAGGAAGCAAUCACCACCCACGUGAAGGGUUUUUUAAGUGUUUACACUUACCUUUUCACGCUGGGUCUUUUAGAUCCAGUUAUUAUAGCCUUUUGUAAGAGGUACGAGGUGACCCUAGGCCAAAUUCAUCCCUCCUUCUGAAGGAUAGUCAUCCUCAUCUGUUUUUUUGUAAACAAGAUCGAGGGGUGUCCCUUCACCAUCGAUCACCUCAUGCGUUUGUACAGUUCCGGGAUUUAACGGAUGGGGGGGGGGGCUAAUAAAACUUUCCCAUCGGGCCAGUAAGGCCCCAUUAUCGAGCAUCGAUGAGGAUCGGGACCGAGGCUGGUUGGGCCGAUUCGUUUGAGUGAAAAUCUCGGACUUAAUCCCGGCUGAGGACAUGCCAUUUCGUGAGAAAUGGCACUUGAAUUAUAAGUAUAACCUUGCCUUUAAGAUUUUGUUUAUCAUUUUUCUUUUGCCCUUCUUCUUAUCGAUUCUUUAUGAUGCAACUGCUGCUCGGAUGACGGAUGCAGUUCCUCGACUCAAGGAGUGGGUCGAGGGCAUCGUGUCGCAAAAACCCUAUUUCGAUCGCCCGUGGCGUGAACUUUCGAAGGGCCGGUGGGAGGCCCAUACUCAUGGUGAGAUUUCUCUACUGAGUGAAUUUACACUUAGUUUUCUUAGCUGCAUUCGUUCUCACUGUUUUUUCCUUUGUAGGUCUUCCCAAAGAUGUCGAAAUGAGUCCCCCGUCCGGUGAUGAAGAAAUUCUCCCCGAGCCAUCUGUUUCGAGGCAGGAUAAUGAGAAGAAAAGGAAAAGGACUCCGAGUUCUCCGAACUCGGAGAUGAAAAAACCAAAAAGGAGGCUUGUGUGCAAAUCCAAGGAAAGUGCCAGCGCCCGGGAGGUCCCAUCGGAUUCACUCAGUCGACUGAGGGAUGAGUCCGAAGAAGAAGAAGAAGAAGAAGCCUCUGAGCUGAUGACCCGCGUGAGAAGCGGUACCGAGCUACCUCAAACCGGGGUAGCCGAUGAGGAGGCAGUGGCCGAGACCUUGAAACCAGGUAAGGACGGGGCCAUUUAGCCUCGAGUUGGGGAGGUCGACAAGGAGACCAUGACCGGUACUCCUCGGGUUGAUGGAAAUGCCCUGAAGGAUGCACUUGGGGUGAUCGAUCCUUCUGGGUCACUAUCAAUCACCGACUCCAUGAUAAACGAGGCCCAUGUGCUAAAAGGACACCCAAAUGAGGGGCCUCAAGAGGCGGCAAAUUCCUUCAACAACUUCUUCGAUGGCUUAGAUUCUACCACCUUGGAGUAUGUCACCGGGUUAGGAAACUUACCGGUACCAAAGAAGAUACCGUCUUUAGGAGCCAGCAGAUCUUCUUCGAGUUCGAGAUUAGUAGAUCGAUUCCCGGUCCCGAGUUCAGAUCCUGACCGGAAGCGGUCAAUCAUCAUGUCCAUACCGGAGGAUGCCUGGGUUUUCUACGCCCCCGUAGGGGUUUCAGCUAUCUUCGAUGCCUGGUGACAUUAAAGGAUCAUGCCAAAAUGAAUGAGGUGGAGUCCCCGUGUCUGUUCAACGAAGCUCAACAUGCGUUGAAUCGGGUAACUUCGAAUGCCUUUUUAUUAUGUAUUUAUAUUAAAUUGCAAACAAUCGUAACAUUCUUUUUGUGUUCGCAUGCCUUGGUGCUUCAUCACUAAACUUUUCUCUGAUAUCGGGAAGAGUUGAACCAACACGAGGUCGAAACCCGGGAGCUUACUAAGAAGAUGGAUGCUUACAAGCUCAUUAGUGAGAAGCUCCUGGCCGAGUUAGAAGCGGCUCGGAAGGAGCAUGUCGUCGAGUAUUUGAAGUUAGUGACUAUGAUUUAGACACAGUGGCUAACGACUCGAACCCGCAGGUUCAAAAGAAACUUGACCAGAUCGAGCAGCUCUAGGUGGAGGUGGACACGGUGAAUGCUGAGGCCAAAAAAUAGAAGAAAAACAUGGACUACCUGGCCUCGGAAAAGGAGAGUGCCCGAGAACAACUGGCUUCGACUGAGAUCCAAAUCUGGGCUGCAAAAGAAAAGGCCUUGGUACACGCCAAAAAAAUCAAAGAGCUCCAAUCUCAACUAAGCUCGGCGAUCUCCGGUCAAGAAAAUCUGGCCAAGGAACUUGAGGUGACCAAGUUGGAGAUUACGGUGGUUAAGGCCAAGGCUAAUAAGAGGGUGGCCCAGCAUAAGGCCGAUGCCGAGACGGCUUAGAAUUAAGUGAGAAACUUGGUUGAGCAUAUGAAGUGGCAAUCCCAAAGGGAGGCCCUCGAGGGAGUUCGAGCUCAAGGUUUUGACCUGUUGGCCAAAAUCGAGAAUGCCAAGGUAUCCAAAGUCGAGGCCAGGAAGCUGGCUUAUUCCCAGGAGAAGGAUUUCGAGGGAUCUGAAGAUUCGGAUGAGCCCUAAGGCAGCAGAUAACCUGAAGGUGAUGAUGCGGCCCCCGACGAAGACUAGGCAACUUAGGAUUGUUUUAUUUUUUUAAGGCCGCUUUGGCCGUUGUAAAAUUUUAUAUCGGAGCCAUUCGACCCUUGUAAAAAGAAAUUUCUGAUUAUGAAUAUAAGGUCUUUUCCCUUCAACAGCUUUCGAAUUUUCUCUUUUCCUUGUUUAUUUUUAUUUGCAAAGAUAACAAUUAGGUUGUGUUCGAAGGUUCGGACAAACCUUGCCUUUAACAUUAUUUCGUUUUGAGGCAUCGUGGGGAUUUGGUGUUAUCGAAAACUUUUCCCCAAAGUAGUUUAGGUUUAUAGUUUGCUGAGGAUAGCCUUUAGAACCGGUUAAGAAAUUUCAAGGCCUUGUUGUUUUUGUUACUGUCUUCGGACGUCUCCGAGCCAUGUUUAUGUGGUCGUAGACUUUAUAGUUCGGGGUGUUGUCCCGUGUUAAUAUAAUUAUCCCGAGUUAUCCGGGUUUGCCUAAGAUGGUAGUCCCCGAGUGAGGGUGGCCUUAUCCUAUAAAAUUCGGGGGUUGCCUAAUAGGUCUUUAUACCCAUGAGGUCUAAUAGCUUGGACCGUCCGAGUUUAUUUUAUGGACGACAGUCCCCGAGUGAGAGAGUGAUUAUUCGAACUCAGGCUAAGGCGGCUCAUGGGCUCAUUUCCUUUAGGGGAUCGGAAGCAGGGAAUUCUUUGAGAAAUGCAAAGGAAAAAGUUUUAAAAGACAAAAUAUUUGCAAGGAAGAGUCUUCUCUUUAUUCUUGUACAUAAUAGUAAUGUAUGUGUACAAGCUUUGUGUCAGGGUUUGAGCAGUCUAUGUGGGCACGGUAAUUUGACCGUUUGGCCCUUACAUUGAAUCCUAUCGAUCGAGACCCUUAAAUCCCGAAGUCUUUUUCCAUGCUAAAGUCGAUAUCAGAGGGUAAUGCCCCCAGUGUUCGGGGAUGACCGAAGAAGGGCCUUGAACGCUAUUAUGAUCAUCGUCAUCGGUUCGUUUCCGGCCUUCAAUUCUAAGUUAGCACGAUUUACUUGUUGCCUCGUUAAAAACCUUGCAGGAAAACCCAUUUGGGACAAAACCGACUCAAGGGAAAAAGAGUGUAACGUGCUCUUUCAGACCUAAAAUCUCGUACCAUCCCUUAUUGGUUACCUACAAGGGUUAGUUUAAGAUGUAAAUAAAGGAAAGAACGGGGCCAUACCUUAGAUGUAAUAUCGCUUUAAGUGAGUUAUAUUCCAGUUGUUCGGUAGUUGCUCGCCAUUCAUUGUUCUAAGCUUGUAGGAUCCUUUUUCGGUGAUCUCGAUAAUUUGGUACGGCCCUUCCCUGUUCGGCCCCAAUUUUCCUUCAUUCGGGUUUCGGGUGUUUAGCGUGACCUUUCUUAGUACCAAAUUCCUAGUAUUAAAGUGUCGAAGGUUGGCCCUUCGAUUAUAAUAUCUUUUGAUCCGUUAUUUUUGGGCGACUAACCGGACAAGGGCGGCUUCGCGCCUUUUAUCUAAUAGCUCCAGGUUGGUACUCAUAGCGUUGUCAUUCAAUUCCUUUGUUGCAUUUCAUAAUCUGAUACUCGGUUUCCCGACCUCGGCCGGUAUCAAAGCUUCGGCGCCAUAAACCAAAGAAUACAGGGGUAGCUCCGGUACUGGACUUCGAGGUUGUACGGUAUGCCCACAUGACUUCAAGUAAUAUUUCCUUCAAUCUUCUUUUGGCGUCGGUUAACCUUUUUUAAGGUUUUGGAGUAUGGUUUUGUUGGUAGAUUCAGCUUGUCCAUUCCCACUAGGGUGAUAGGGUGUCGAUAGGAUCCUUUUGAUCUUGUGGCAUUCAAGGAAUUUAGUUACUUUGCUUCCGAUGAACUGUUUCCCAUUAUCGCAUACAAUUUCGGUCGGCAUUUCAAAUCGGCAUAUGAUAUGGUCCCAAAUGAAAUUGAUGACCUCCUUCUCCCUGACCUUCUCGUACACUUGGGCUUUCACCCACUUAGAAAAAUAGUCAGUCAUAAACAAUAUAAAUUGAUCCUUAUCGGGUGCCCACGGAUGGGGCCAACGAUGUCCAUUCCCCACUUCAUGAAUGGCCAUGGUAACAAAACCGAUGCAGCAACUCCCUGGGUCGAUGGAUCAUCGGAGCAUGUCUUUGGCAUUCAUCACAUUUUCGAACGAACUCCUUUGCGUCUUUUUCUAUGUCGAUCCAGUAAUAACCGGCUCUGAUUAUUUUUUGAACCAGCAAUUCCGCACCCGAAUGAUUUCUACAGGUACCUUCAUGGAUUUCCCUCAAAACAUACUCAGUGUCGCCCGGCCCUAGACAUAUUACAAGUGGUCCAUCAAAUGUUCUUCUGAACAAGGUUCCAUCUUCGGACAGGCUAAAUCAGAUCGCCAUUGUACGCAGGGCCCUCGACUCUUUUGGAUUCGAGGGCAGUUUACUGGAUCUGAGAUAUUCCUCGUACUUAUUCCUCCAGGCCUAAGUUAGGCUCGUCGAGUUGAUCUCGGUGUGGUCUUUUUCCACCACCGAUCUCAUAAGUUGUAUGGCUUCUCCCUAAUUGAACUCAUCGUCUUCGACCGACGAUCCCAAGUUAGCAAGGGCAUCGACCUCGCUGUUUUGAUCCUGAGGUACGUAUUGCAAAGUCCAUUAUUAGAACCUAUGUAAUAUCACUUGUAAUUUGUCCAAGUAUCUUUGCAUUCGUUCCUCUCUGACCUCGAAUGUUCCAUUGACUUGGUUUACCACAAGGAGGAGUCACACUUGGUUUCGAUUACCUCUGCCCCCAAGCUCUUGGCUAGUUCAAGGCCUACAAUCAUGGCAUCAUAUUCAGCCUCGUUGUUAGUCAAUUUCACAGUCUUAAUAGAUUGCCUAAUUAUAUUACCUGUUGGUGGCUUUAGUACGAUGCCAAGUCCGGAACCUUUUGCAUUUGAGGCGCCAUCCGUGAAUAGGGUCCAGUUUCCCGAGGAAGUUUCUGAGUUAACCAAUAACUCUCUUUCGACCUCGGGUAUUAGGGUCGGUGUAAAGUCGGCCACAAAGUCUGCCAAAAUUUAAGACUUAAUGGAGGUCCGAGGUCGAUACUCAAUAUCAUACCCACUUAUUUCUAUGGCCCAUUUGGCCAAUCGGCCCGAGAGUUCGGACUUAUGCAUAACGUUCCUCAAUGGGUAAGUAGUUACGACACAUAUGUGGUGGCAUUGGAAGUACGGUUUUAGCUUCCUAGAGGCGCUUAAUAAAGCGAGCGCCAGUUUUUCCAGGUGAGGGUACCUAGUUUCGGCCUCACCUAAGGUCCUACUAACAUAGUAAAUUGGAAAUUACAUACCUUGCUCUUCCCGAACUAGGACUCCACUUACCGGUAUCUCCGAGACCGCCAAGUACAAGUACAAUGGUUCGUUCGUCUUUGGUGUGUGAAGCAGGGACGGGCUCGAUAAAUACCUCUUGAGUUCCUCCAAAGUUUGUUGGCAUUUUGGGGUCCACGAGAAGUUGUUCUUAUUCUUCAACAGUGCGAAUAAUCGGUGGCUCUUGUCGGACGACCUCGAAAUAAAUCGUCCCAGGGCAGCUAUUCGCCCGGUUAACCUUUGCACGACCUUUACGUUGUCCACGACCGUGAUAUCAUCGAUGGCUUUGAUUUUUUCGAGAUUGAUCUCGAUUCCCCGAUUGGAUACCAUAAAAUCGAGGAACUUACCCGACCCAACUCCAAACGCAUAUUUUAUUGGGUUCAGCUUCAUAUUGCACUGCUUCAGUAUGCUGAAGGUUUCUUGCAAAUGUUUUAAAUGGUUCUCUGCUUGCAGAGACUUAAAUAACAUGUCGUCAAUGUAAACCUCAAUUGAUUUUCUUAUUUGUUCCUUGAACAUCCGAUUUACUAGGCGUUGGUAAGUAGCACCGGCAUUUUUUAAUCCAAAUGACAUUACAUUAUAACAGUAUGUACUGUAUUUAGUGAUGAAGGAAGUUUUUUCCUCAUCACCCAGGUCUAUCCGUAUUUGGUUGUACCGGGAAUAGGCGUCGAUAAAAUUGAGAAUCUUGUGGCCGGCCAUGGCAUCGAUCAUACGGUCGAUGCUGGGCAAAGGAAAAGAGUGUUUGGGGCAUGCCUUAUUCAAAUAUUUGUAGUCUACACACACACUUAGUUUAUUCCCCUUUUUAGGGACUACCACUGCGUUUGCUAACCAAUCCGGGUAUUUAACCUCCCAAAUAUACCCUAUUUUAAGAAGUUUAGAUACUUCAUCCUUGAUUUUCGCAUGCUUGAUCUCGUACUGGGUAUUGUUUUUUAUUUAACCGGGUAAAAGUUCGGAUCCAGGCUUAGCUUGUGAGUGGUUAUCUCCGGCGGAAUUCUUGUCAUAUCAAGGUGGGACCAAGCGAAACAAUCUUCGUUAGUUAUAAGAAUUUGAAUAAGUUUUUCCCUGAGCUCGGAGCUUAGCCUCGUACCCAGGUAUACUUUUUGAUCGGGCAAGCUUUCUCGCAAUAUGACUUGUUCCAGCUUCUCGACUGUCGAUUUAGUGGAGUCGGAAUCAUCGGGGGCUAUAAAAGAUCUGGGAACCCCAUAAUCAUCAUCCUUGACUUCCUUUUGUUUGUCAGAAUCUAUCGAAGAUGGUAUCAGUGAUUGCUAUUUGGCCCCUUUUUUACCAUCUGGUUUGGGCCCUUUAAUGUUGAAACUGUAGAUGCCGGUAUCACAUCCUCGACCUCGAAUAUUUCCUUUACAAUCGGCUGUUCUCCUUAGACAGUUUUAACUCCGUCAGGUGUUGGGAAUUUUAGUGCCUGGUGUAGUGUCGAUGGCACCAGCCUUAUGUUGUGGAUUCAUGGCCUCCCGAAUAAAGCGUUAUACCUCACGCCCUCUUCGAUCACAUAAAAUUUAGUCUCCUGGAUGGUCCCGGCAGUGUUUACGGGUAGCGUUAUUUCGCCCUUAGUGGUUUCACAUGCCAUAUUGAAUCCGUUCAGCACUCGAACUGCGAGCACGAUUUGGUCUUGUAAACCGAGCUGAUCCACACCCUUGAUCGAAUGAUGUUGGCUGAGCUACCUGGAUUAAAUAAUACACGUUUAACCCGAAUUUUAUUUACGAGUACAGAUCUUACCAGUGCAUCAUUGUGGGGUUGCACGAUUCCUUCCGUAUCCUCGUCGUUGAAAGAUAAAGUUCCCUCCGGUAUGUAGUCUCGAGUUCGCUUCUCCCUAGUGAUGGAUACUUUGGUGCAUUUCAACAUCGGCCCAUGUGGGAUAUCAACCCCUCCGAUGAUCAUAUUAAUAACGUGUUGAGGUUCUUCUUGUUCUGCCUGUAUGUUAGAAUGCCUGUUCCUGAAAUGAUUCUUAGCUUGGUCGCUUAAGAACUCCCGAAGGUGCCCAUAGUUGAAUAGACGAGCCACUUCAUCCCUCAACUGUCGGCAAUCUUCCGUUCUGUGACCGUGAGUGCCAUGAUAUUUGCACAUCUGGUUAGGGUCCCUUUGGGUUGGAUCGGACUGUAGAGGUCUAGGCCAUUUAGUAUCUUUGAUACGUCCGUUAGCUGAUACAAUGGCGGCAGCAUCGACAUUGAAGUUAUAUUCCGAUAGCCUCGGUGCGUCUUUGAACCUGUCGAAGACAUUUUUGGUCAUACGUCCCCGACUGCUUUGACCUUGGUCAUUUCUCCUUUCAUUCAUAGAGUUUCGCCCGGACCCACUGCUUCUCCGAUCUCCGUUAUACGGCUGAAAUCGAUCCUUGUUUGGCCUCGGUUCGCAAUCGAUAUCUCUCUUGACUCUGUCGAGGGUUAUGACGGGAUAGACAGACCCCGUAGGGCCCCUGAGUUGAUCAUCUUUGACUCUGAUUUUCGAUUGAUACCGGUUAUGCACCUCAGCCCAUGUAACAGCCGGGUAUUCUAUUAAGUUCUGUUUCAGCUGCUGUGAACCCACCGAGCUUUGAAUAUUAAGUCCUUGAGUGAAAGCCUAAACAACACAAUCAUCAGCGACCGAUGACAGAUCUAUUCGUUCCAUUUGAAACUGGGACACGAACUCUCUGAGCAUCUCGUUAUCCUUCUUUUUGACUUUGAAAAGGUCUGAUUUCCUAGUCUCGACCUUGAUGGCACCUGCGAGCAUCACUUGCUUUUACGAAAUAAUCUGCAAGCAUAGCAAAUGAAUUAAUAGAAUUAGGAGGUAAAUUGUGAUACUAUAUCAUAGCUCCCUUCGACAAGGUCUCCCCAAAUAUUUUCAACAAAACAGACUCGAUCUCAUCGUCCUCCAGGACAUUCCUUUGAUAACACAUGUAUAAGAGGUUACAUGCUCGUUUGGGUCGGUCGUUCCAUUAAACUUGGGUAUUUUAGGCAUACAAAAUUUCUUGGGGAUCGGCUUCGGAGUCGCGCUCGGUGGAAAAGGUUUUUGCACGAACUUCCUAGAAUCCAGGCCCUUCAAUAUUAGAGGUGCUCCUGGGAUUUGGUCUACCCUGGAAUUGUAAGUUUUUACCUUUUUGUCGUUAACCUCGAUCUUCUUCUCCCCCGAUUCGUUUUGUCAGCUCCUCGAGCAUUUUUAUGAUCUCGGGGUUAGCCCCCGAUUCGUGUUCGUUCGACCUUUCAAUGACCGGUUUAUCCCUACAGGUGCCUUCCCGGGGAAGAUGAGGCUCAACCCUGCUCGGUGCACGGCUUUGGUUCUGUAACUAAGCUAUUGCCUCCUGUUGAGCCUCUAAUAUUUCGAAGAUCACUCAUAGACUGAUCAUGUCUCCUUCAACGUUUUGCAUGUUUCGAGUUGCCGAUCGGGAUCCACCACGAAUGUUAUUUUUGGGGUUGGUAGGUAAGUUUGCAUCGAUAGCCACAUAUGAAUUAGCGUCAAUCGGAUCCGCGAUUGGAAUUCCAGCGGGAUCAGCAAGUGGUAUCUCGUUACUAGGCGCUAUGUUGUUAUUUUCACCUUGGUGACCGGACUCGUUGUCAACAUGCAAAGGUGCUAAUUGAGAAUUUGACAUUUUUGUAUUUUAGCCUGGAAUCAAAAACACUUCAAAGAGCAAGUGUAAAGCAGUGUGUGUUAUAGAGAUUUGUAUCAAAUAACCAAUAUUAUCCUUAGACCCACGGUGGACGCUAAACUAUUUACCCUCAAAAUCGAAUAACAACUGAAUUUAUACGCGCUUUUAAGGAUACGUGAUCUAACUUGAUACAAAAAUGAGAAAUCAGAUUUAAAUUAGAAUUAAUGAUAAAAAAAGUAAAUGCAAACCAUACAGGUUGAACAAUUUUGGCCUUAAAGGUUGGUCACCCUCGAGUCAAAGAUGCUGCAAUCGGUGCCGGGAUAGAGUGAUGAGAUAAUAAUGACUAGAAAUAACAGUUUAUUGCUUUGAGAUGCGUGUUACAAUAUACUUUACAAAUAAUCAGACCCCCUUUAUAUAGUAGAUGAGUCCUACUUUAGGUACAAUUCUAUAUAAGGUAAAAAAUCUCAUGAUUUGCUAAUUAAUCGGUUUCAUUGAUACGUGCCGAGAUUCCCGCCGUGAUAUCCGACCGGUUAUGGAUGUUUCGGCCUUCCGUUAUUUUGGUUCGGUAAUGUUUUCUCGAGCUAAUUCGGAGUCGCGGUCAAUUCCGGGGUUACAGACUCGAUAAUCUUGAAGACGCAUGUUCUAACCUCGUGCCUGGGUUCGAUGGAACCCCAUGGUCGAUCCUCAAAUCAUUAUGUUUUAUCCCCGAUCUGUCAUGCAAUAGAUAAGCUCAGUUUUUACCGUAUACAGAUAAUCCCCUCGUUUUUUGGAGAGUAAACGACGAGAAACGACAUGAGCCUUCGAUCCUUGUCUCGAUACUUUGCGCUAGAAACGACAAAAUGAGCGAAACACUUCGUCAGUCACAUCUAAAUGGCAUUAAAUGUUCGUCCGUUGUUGGUCGGCCACCACAUGUUUUGAACCGUCGUUUGCGGAUAAUGCCAUUUUCAAGCCUCAAACCAAAACCUCAUAAAAAAAAAUUCAAUCAUCCCACCAUAGUUCUUCAUUGGUUGCAAACGAAAAGGAUAACUUACUUUUGAAACCUAAUUUUCACCAAAAGUCAAGUUGGCGAAUCUUUAAUCAGAUCAAUUGAUUUUCUUAUAAAAUGUAUAGCUCAUUUCAUUGAUGUUGAUCCGUUUAAGUUAAAAGAACCUAGAAGUAGCAGUUUCCGUAUGCGAACUUUUAAAUCGCAUUAGUAUAAUGAGACUUAUAAACAUUGACGAAAUACUACGUAUUACGUGUUCAAUGUGUGUCAGUUUCAAAGUUGCUUUCAUUUUGCGUUAAUUACCCUAUUCGUCCUUUUGACGUCCAUUGCGCUCUCUUUUCUCACUCUCCGGAGUCAUUUGUUCUUCUUGUUUUUUUAAAAAUCCUAUGAAAGAAUUGUAUAGUGUAACAUAAACCUUGUCUUUGAAUCCAAAUUUCAGGAGAAAAGAAAAAGAAUUAUCCAAAGAAUGAAAGAUAUCAUUUCGUGGGAGCAUGGACAAUGAUUGUUUUUCAGCAAAAGAUCACAUGGGGAGGAAUAAGAGCUGAUGAUUAUGUUCUAAAAACCAUUGGUUAGUCGAAGACAAUGCCACUCUUUAUAUAUUCCAUCACCAGAAUUGUGGUGGAAUAAAUAAAAUUUCUCUAGCCGUAGAAAUAAAAAGAAAUAUCGGUAGGCAAAUUUUGUGUCAAUAAACCUUAACUUAAUCGGAAUGCAGCUAUAAAAAAUGUCUUUAAGACAAUGAAGGUAUUCUUUUUUCCUUAGAUACCGUUGAGAAAGAAGAAAAUAGAAAGAAAGAGAAGAUCCGCAAAUAGGUGCAACCAUAGCCAUUAAUGGGUGAAUCCAUCGAAAAAGGGCCCCACACGGUGCCUGGAUACCCUGCUGGCAAUCAUGUGGAGCUUUCCUGAGAAAGUUUCUUGUACGACGCUCCACACAUAAAAAGUAAUGGUGUUUCUAUACAAGUUGCAAUUUCUAUAUAUUUCAUCCCACUAGAACAGUGUAUAAUUUGGUAAAUACUGAAUUACUUACCGAAAUUAAAAAUUUUAAUUUUUGAUAUUCGGUAUUUUAGUAUUUGGUAUAAUAUUUGAUUUAAGUUUAAAAAAAAUUGGUAUUAGAUAUAGUAUUUGAUAUUUUAAAAUAAAAUACCGAAAUAUAUACUCCUAUUAUAUUAGACAAAACACAUAUUAUCAAUUAUAACAUAAAUAUAAAAAAAUCUAAAAUUUUACUUUUCUUUUAUUCUCUAAGUUCAUCAAUUAGCUCUAAACAAGUGACAAGACAUUUCUAAUAAUCCAAUUUAUUCUUUUUAUGUACAGUUUUCUCUUUAUGGGUCGAUAUUUGCUGGUUUUGGACAAAACUUUUGUUAACAAAUAUUUUUAGUUUUGUAUUUUUGAGUACUUUAAUUAAGAAUAUUAGAGUCUAUGGCUCUAUGCACUAGUUAGUAUUCAAACAUAAUAAACCGAAGUUGCCGAAUCGAUUAAAUCGAAAUCGAAAUGAGAAAAAUCGAACCAUACCGAAUUUAAUUAGGUACGGUAUUGGUAUAGAAUUUUAAGAAAUCGAAUACCGAAAAUACCGAACUGAAAUAUAUAAAUAUCGUACCGUACCGAUCGACGAACACCCCUACUAUCAUGGGUAGUUUGGUUGGAAAGAAAUUACCCAGGAUUAAUUAUCUCAGGAUUAGUUAUCCCGAGACUAAUUAUUCCACCUUUCAAUGGGAAUAAAAUAUACUAUAAUCCCGGGAUUAAUUAUACCGCAGUUUUCUACCAACCAAACAUGUGAUAAACUCUUCUUAAAUUUAAUUUCGCAAUUAAUUAUUCCUUAUCCAUUGUACCAAACGAGCUCUCGGUGUAAUAAUAGUGUCUGAUUAGUACUAAUUUAAAAUAAUACUCCAUAAAAGUUUAUAUUUAAAUAAUUAAAUAAAUUAAAGUUUUAAAAAGUAGUAAAAGUUGUCUAAAAUAUUUAAUGGGGUUAACUAUCUUGAAACGUCUGAACUGAAAAGAGUAUAAUAUGAAUUAAGAUAGAAAGAGUAUAUUUUACGAUUAUAUUCUCGAUAGAUCCUCUCCUUAUUUAGAGUAAAGUUUCAUCUUUCCUUAUCUUAAAUCAUUCUAAUGGUUUUGUCUUUAGUGAAUUUUAGAGAUGUUUGGGAUUAAUUAAUAAAUUAUAGACACAAUCGAUGUAGAGAAGAAAAGGUAACCAAUAUUAAUUGUUCACGUUAUAUACAUUCAUAAAACAUAACUUUCUCAGUAUUAGGAACAAACCUUUUGCAUAUUAACUUGCGCAAGUCAUCAUUAAAGACCAACUUUCGGAAAAUAUAAGCGGAUUCACAUUAUUUAGGUUGAAAAGAAAAUUUAAUUUCAGAUUAAUAUAGAUACGAAAAAAACAAACAAGUUGUUAUUUACUGGAAGGAGGAUGAAAACCCAGUGUAUGUAUAUAAAUGGAGUACUACUAUUUGAGAGAUGAUAAUUUGAAGUUAAAGCCUAGUAAUUAGUACUACCCUAUAAGUAGAUGAUGCCAUUAUGAAACCAAUUAAGAGCUGUUGUUUCGGAUCCACUUAUAGUAAAAAGGAGCAGCAAAAUAAGUGUAUUCAGUAGAAGAUUGAUCAAAAUGUAGCAAUUAAUUACUUUAGCAGUGACAAAAAAUAUUACUAAGUGAUUAUUUAAAUUUUGGUGGAUAGAGACAUCGAGUUAUCCAAUCUUAUACUAGUGGGAGGAGCAAUUGGUUCAAACAUAAUAACUUUUGUUCAAAUUUUAAUGUCGUUAGAAUAAUAAGUACCUAAUAUAAUAAUUGAGACUCCUACAAAUUACGCAAAAAAUGUAGCAACUAAUUAUUGGUAAUAUGCUCUGGAAGGGUCUAGUAUUAAUGGUAGAAAACUUGGUACUAUGAGGGACGAAAAAAGGAAAAGAAUAAUGGAGGUUGGUGGAAGACACAAUUUGGUUCUCAAUUAAAGGAGUAGGCGUGUGGUAAUGUAUCACUCUGAACUGUCCAUUGGUUGUCGUCCCCAAACCCCCUUACCCCACCUCAUCCCAUGAAAACUAAAACCUUCUUUUAUGUGCGUUUGAAAAAAUUACUUAAUGGGGAAGGGAAUUUUGCAAAAGGACAUUUUAGAUAUUAAGUUAGCGUUUAGACAUAAAUUUAAUUAAAACUUGAAAAUAAUAAUUUAAAGUUGUAUAGAAAAAUAAUUUUUAAAAGUUAAAAUUGUGUUUGGACAUACAUUUUAUUUAUAAAAGGUUAAAGUUUUGUGAGUGGAACUUUAAUUUUUUUUCAAUUUUUUUUUAAAAUUUGAUCAUAUUCCACGAAUAAACACUGUUUUCAUUAGUGACCAAAAGUUCACUAGUUUGAACCCCAAUGACGUAUAGAAUGUGUUAGCUCAUAAUUUAGCUAAAUUCUCCAUUUCACUUUUAUAUUGGUUAUAUGGGAUUCUAUUUUCUCAAGUUGGGUCAUAAAUAAUGAUAUAAUCAGUGACGUCGCAAGAAAUCUCGCCAAGGGUUUUCGAACUUUAUGGAAAUCGAUAAUUUUUUUCGAUGAAUGGGUGCACCGAAUUUUUUAAAAUCAAACUAUGCAAUAUUUAGCUAAACAAUUAAAAUACUUGUAAUAGAACUAAUUUUAUAAAUUAAAAUUAACAUAAAACAAGACAAUAAAAGAGAUUCUACUAAUAAAAUUAAACAUAAAGCCAAAGGAAGGAGAGAGUUAAGGGGUCAGUAGUAUAUAGAGAACUUUUGUUGAGGAAACUUUUGUAGAGCAUGACAUUUAAAUAAUAACAGUUAUUUAAGAAAUAACUUUUAAGAUUAGUUGUUUGUUUUUACACUCAUUUUAAAUUUUAAUAUUUAUUUAUAAGAAUUUUUGUUGGAUUAAAAAAGAGUCAAAUAGAUCACAUACAGUGAUCUUCGUCUUGUUUUGGCCAACAAAAUGAGCAAAUAAAAAAUAUUUAGACAAGGAUUUAAAUUCAUGAACAACACCUCACUUUGAAGUUUGAACACUCUCGACCAUUAAAUUACCUUACUUAAAUGUAUUAAGAAUAUUUACAAUAUAAUAUAUAGUCAUAUAAAAUAUUAUACACAAUAUAAUUGUUCAUCGAAGAUGUUCGCUUGAUUACCUUUGUAUAGUGUGAUUAUGCCUCUGGCUGCAAUGUCUUAUGUAUAUUUGAGCAUGUGAUGAAGUAAUAUAAUGCAGUUGUUGAAAACUCCAAUGAGUCAAUGACCUAUGUAAAUUGGACAAAGCAGAUGACAAUGUCAAGGAAAACAUCACCACGUUAUAUGGGCUACGUUCAUAUUGUACAUCGCGAAUUAUUACUUGUACCGAGCAUACGUAUUGUACAUUUUUGUUACUAGUAUCUUGCUUUUCUAAGUCAAUUUUUUAUAGCGCCUUAAUUUUCAACUUAUGAAGAAAAAAACAGUCAUAUCACUCAAAGUGUUUGUGUCAUUGAUUAGUAUUGUAUGUUGUAUUUGUAUGCUAACAAAGUAGUAACAUAUUUGGUCAAACUUCUAAAAUCAACUUAUUUUGAAAAGUAUUUCCUUUCAUAUGUACUUUUGGUGAGAAGGUAUUUGGCUAAUUAAAAUAAAAAAUACUUUUUUGAGCAGCCAUUAAUGUUUGAUUAAACUUUUAAAAAGUACUUUUAAGUGUAAUUUUGUCAAAAAUACUUUUCAAAUACUCUCGAUGAGAAACUACUUUUUCUAUUUCUCCAAAACUACUUAUGCUUCUGCUCAAAAAAAUAUUAUUUUUAAAAUUUUGGCCAAACAUUUCAACUUAAAAAAAUAAUAAUAACUUUUGGCGUUAAAGAAGCUUUGGCAAACAAGCUAAAGCUAUAGAUCUAGCUGAAACAAUUCAUAAUGGUGCAUUCCAGUUAUGAAUCAAACAAGGUACAUAAAAUCUUUUUCACUUCCUCAAAUCUAACUUAUGACUUAUAUAAUCUAGGCCAAAUACCUAUACGGCACUUAAACUUAGCUUCAGUUUUCAUUUUAACACUUUAACUAAGCCUAUCACCUAUUGAACACUUUAACCCAAAUCAAAGUAUGCCUAUUGAACACAAAAAACUUAGUCCCAAAAAAUAAAACAAAUGUGUGAAGCUCAAACGCGCUUAUGUGGAAAUAUAAUCAAUGAAAAGAUGCCAGAUCAUUAAAACAAGCCACAUCAGGGAAAAAAAAAAAAAGAAGCCAUGAUGUUAUUUUUUUGGUUGUAAAAAAGCCGUUGGAUCUUACUCGUGGUUGUUCAUCUUCUCCACUUCCAUCGUUGGUCAUCCUCUUUCUCCCUCCUCCCUUCUUCUUUUCCUUUCGUUCAUCGGCCCUUCGCUCAUCGGGAUCAAAUUUAAAACUGAUAGUCGGGCAAAUCAUUUUUAUUUUUGAAUUUCUUUGCUGUAACAAUAAAAAUUUUCAGAUCUGGGUUGAAAGAAGAUGGCAAAGCUGAAGAAGAUGGUGAGCGAAAUCUGGAAAAGUUGAAAAAUAAUGAAUAGAAUUUGGAGAAAAUCAGUCAUUGACGUAUUUAUUUUGCCCAAAUUUAUUGUUGGAGAAAAAAAUAUUCUUCUGUCCUUCUUUUGUCACAGUUCAGAAGCAAAAAUAGAGCAAUAAUGGAGAUGCAUACUUACAGAGGUGACAAUGGUGGAGAUAAGGUAAUUAUGGGUGGCCUUUACAAAAAAAGUCAAUUUUAAUUUAAACAAAAAAGAAAAGAAAAACAUGAUUUCAAAACCAUCAAAAUUCACGGGCCUAAGAGGGGUCGAAAUACAACUCUUUUACCAUGUCAACUUUUGUGUUCAAUAAGC